RNAcentral lists this ribosomal RNA (301 nucleotides) under uncultured bacterium. RNAcentral describes it as "partial 16S ribosomal RNA". It matches the Rfam family "Bacterial small subunit ribosomal RNA", at positions 509 to 808 of the family's 1533-position model. The record is from RNAcentral.
CAGUAGCCGCGGGAAUACGUAGGUGGCAAGCGUUGUCCGGAAUUAUUGGGCGUAAAGGGCUCGCAGGCGGUUUCUUAAGUCUGAUGUGAAGGCCCCCGGCUCAACCGGGGAGGGUCAUUGGAAACUGGGGAAACUUGAGUGCAGAAGAGGAGAGUGGAAUUCCACGUGUAGCGGUGAAAUGCGUAGAGAUGUGGAGGAACACCAGUGGCGAAGGCGACUCUCUGGUCUGUAACUGACGCUGAGGAGCGAAAGCGUGGGGAGCGAACAGGAUUAGAUACCCGAGUAGUCCCUGUCUCUUAUU